This 938-nucleotide ribosomal RNA is filed under the name Trametes vernicipes. Its description in RNAcentral is "eukaryotic LSU rRNA". It matches the Rfam family "Eukaryotic large subunit ribosomal RNA", at positions 39 to 964 of the family's 3401-position model. The record is from RNAcentral. Lineage: Eukaryota; Fungi; Basidiomycota; Agaricomycetes; Polyporales; Polyporaceae.
CAUAUCAAUAAGCGGAGGAAAAGAAACUAACAAGGAUUCCCCUAGUAACUGCGAGUGAAGCGGGAAAAGCUCAAAUUUAAAAUCUGGCGGUCUUUGGCCGUCCGAGUUGUAGUCUGGAGAAGUGCUUUCCGCGCUGGACCGUGUAUAAGUCUCUUGGAACAGAGCGUCAUAGAGGGUGAGAAUCCCGUCUUUGACACGGACUACCAGUGCUUUGUGAUGCGCUCUCAAAGAGUCGAGUUGUUUGGGAAUGCAGCUCAAAAUGGGUGGUAAAUUCCAUCUAAAGCUAAAUAUUGGCGAGAGACCGAUAGCGAACAAGUACCGUGAGGGAAAGAUGAAAAGCACUUUGGAAAGAGAGUUAAACAGUACGUGAAAUUGCUGAAAGGGAAACGCUUGAAGUCAGUCGCGUCUGCCGGAACUCAGCCUUGCUUUUGCUUGGUGCAUUUUCCGGUUGACGGGCCAGCAUCGAUUUUGACCGUCGGAAAAGGGCUAGGGAAAUGUGGCACCUUCGGGUGUGUUAUAGUCUCUAGUCGCAUACGACGGUUGGGAUCGAGGACCGCAGCGCGCCGCAAGGCAGGGGUUCGCCCACUUUCGCGCUUAGGAUGCUGGCAUAAUGGCUUUAAACGACCCGUCUUGAAACACGGACCAAGGAGUCUAACAAACCUGCGAGUGUUUGGGUGGUAAACCCGAGCGCGUAAUGAAAGUGAAAGUUGAGACCUCUGUCGUGGAGGGCAUCGACGCCCGGACCUGACGUUCUCUGAAGGAUCCGCGGUAGAGCAUGUUUGUUGGGACCCGAAAGAUGGUGAACUAUGCCUGAAUAGGGUGAAGCCAGAGGAAACUCUGGUGGAGGCUCGUAGCGAUUCUGACGUGCAAAUCGAUCGUCAAAUUUGGGUAUAGGGGCGAAAGACUAAUCGAACCAUCUAGUAGCUGGUUCCUGCCGA